UACGUAGGGGGCAAGCGUUGUCCGGAAUUAUUGGGCGUAAAGAGCGUGUAGGCGGCCAGAUAAGUCCGCUGUGAAAUCUCGAGGCUCAACUUCGAGCUGUCGGUGGAAACUAUCUGGCUAGAGUCCGGAAGAGGAGAAUGGAAUUCCUGGUGUAGCGGUGAAAUGCGCAGAUAUCAGGAAGAACACCAGUGGCGAAGGCGCUCUACUGGGCCACAACUGACGCUGAGGGACGAAAGCUAGGGGAGCGAAAGGG
Molecule: ribosomal RNA, 253 nt
Filed under: uncultured bacterium
Lineage: Bacteria
Description: partial 16S ribosomal RNA
Rfam family: Bacterial small subunit ribosomal RNA
Source: RNAcentral